This 2052-nucleotide long non-coding RNA is filed under the name Nicotiana benthamiana. RNAcentral describes it as "long non-coding RNA (NBEN_LNC005059)". Lineage: Eukaryota; Viridiplantae; Streptophyta; Magnoliopsida; Solanales; Solanaceae. The record is from RNAcentral.
GAUCUAAACACGUCGAAUCAGCAAGAAAGAAUUUUAUUAAAUAAUUUCUAGCCCAGUUCCAUUUACACAAACUAAAACAAAACUAUAAAAGUGACGGAAUCUUCCAUUGACAUUGUGCCUCUUUAAUUUCAACUCAACUGAAAACCUACAUGAGGUUGUGAUUCAGAAUAUGUUCCUGGCUUUGAGAUGAAAUAAGGGAAUGAAAGUCAGUUGAGGAAUAUAGAACAAGCAGCAACAGUAUGAAUUCAAACAACCCAGCAAUUUAGAAUCAACAAAUGACUCAAAUUGAAAUCUGGAAAUGCAAGAAUGCCAAAUCCACACAGAACUGAACCAACAAACCCAAAAUCAGCUUGAAGCAACUUAUAUUAACUCGAAACUACCCAGAAUCACCAAAACACCUUCAACAAACUCAUAUUUCAACCAGAAAAAAGCUUAAACAAAUCCAAAACUGCAGGAAGCAACACUUUGAGGUUUCAAAACCCAACUGUUGAACUAAAACUGGAAAAAUCAGCAACUGAUGUGGAAACCACCUUAAAUCAUCUAAUGGAACAGUAAUAUUUUUGAGUUUUCUAUUAGAUUUUUCUACUGUUUUUGGUUUUUCUGAAUUUAAAAAAAAAAUAACUACUGAUGCAUGAGGAAAUCGAAGGAAAUAGCUGAAUAUGAAUAUUUUUUAGGGCUGAAAAGAGAGACCCUUUUUUUUUUUUGGUUUUUUAGAGUUUUUGUUUUUGAUUUUGGGUUUUUGAAUCUAAGGAGAACUAGAACCUACAAUUUCUAAAUUGAAAUUAAGCUUCAAAUCUGAAAAAUGAGCAGUCUACUAAGGAAUUUUUGGCUCAAGGAACCAACCCCGUUUUCAAGGCAUCUAAUGCCUUUUUAUAGAAGUAAAAUAGGGCAGCCCCCAAAUAUUCCUUUUUCCUAUAGUCCCUGCUACUUUUAUUCAGUUAGUCCUCUAAUUCGUAGCUUGUUAUUCAAGUAAAUACUCUAACUCUAUUGAAAACUACAUACAAGUCCUAUUCUAGAAGCCUCUAGGGCACUCUUUGAGCAAGACAAUCCCUAUACUACCCUUCCUCUCAAAAUAUCUGAACCCUCACAUGCCGUUCCAGCCUUAUCCUCUAGAAGCUUCCCCAUAACAGAAAAUAUUCCACUCCUCAAAUCACCAAAACAUCCCUGAACAGCCUUGAAAAUACUAACCCUCUACUAACUAAACCAAACCAUUACCCCAGUCAAAAAGAAUUAGCCCUCCAAUCUAAACCCAUGUAAAGAUGGGUCAAGCUUGACCUAACCCUUAUCGAGAGUGGUCCCAAAUCCCAUCCAUAUCAGAAAUUCAUUUGAUGAAAUAGGAAACAAAAGAGGUUAAUUAGUUGAUUUCUUUUGAACACUAAAACUAGACUCAAACGACUAAUUUCCUUUUAAUCAAAUUAAUGGGCUACCAAUUCUAAUUAACCCAGGCUAGAUAUAUGACUGGAAAACAAGUCAUAACUUAACGGGCAAGAUACACAGACAGAACUCACGAAAAUUUCUACAAAGAAACUGGAAGACUCGCGGAAUAAAUACAACCACCAUACGAAUAGGGAAAACCUAUAUUCAGUGUUUUAAAUCCCACCAAAUUCAACUAAGAAAUAAAUCUAAAGGGAACCAGAAGAGAAACGAGGGUCACAUAAGUAGAAAAUGAACAAAACGGAUGAAGGAGACGAGGGAAAGAUAAAUAUACCUAGGUAAUUGCACGAACAGAGCUUGAUAACUUCAGGCGACCUUGAUUUGACGUGAAACUAGUAUUAACCGCAUGUUCUUUCAUGACCAAACAAGUAACAACCGUUUAAAGCCUAAUCGCUUAUAAGAACUUGCAAACUUCGACGAUCUAUUUCCUUCGAUUGAGAUUAAAACCUUGACUGGUUUGGCUAGGAUUCGGGGAGAACAAAAUUGGAUUAUGACUCAGGGAGGGGUCACAGUUGCAUGGUUGUAUUUGUUGUGAUUUGAGCUUUCACCGGUGGUGAUGGCGGGUUAGGGUUGCUGGUUUAGGUGAAAUGAAGAAGAAGAAUAGACAUGAUGUCUUCA